AUGUGGACUCCGCCGCCGCCAGGUGUGAUUGUCAUCAAUUCAGACGCUGUAAUUUUUUCAGAAAUUGAUAUGUCAGGGGCUGGUGUGGUGGCCCUGAACCAUGAAGGAGCAUGUAUGGUAGCAUGUACUGAACUUAUCCAUGGGGCAUUGGAGCCUGAACUUGCGGAGGCUCUGGCUUUACGAAGAGUUGUAUAUCUGGCCCGAGAAGAGCAAUUCUUCAAGGUGGUAUUUGCCUUAGCUUGCCAGUCGCUGGUUACUAGGAUUAAUUCAAGUAUCUCUGACCGUUCCUCAAUUGGUACCGUGGUCAAUGAUAUAAAGUUUGCUUCAAGGAGCUUUGUGUCUGUGGUGUUCCAGCAUGUUCGUCGACAAGUGAAUAUAGCUGCUCAUCUGUUAGCUAAAUCUUGUAAAAAUUUGUCUAGUGUUGUUGUUUUCCAUUCUACUCUGGAGUGUAUCCGAGAGACCCUUUGUAACUUUGUCUAA
This 480-nucleotide ribosomal RNA is filed under the name Triticum aestivum (bread wheat). RNAcentral's name for it is "partial small subunit ribosomal RNA". Lineage: Eukaryota; Viridiplantae; Streptophyta; Magnoliopsida; Poales; Poaceae. The record is from RNAcentral.